This 519-nucleotide ribosomal RNA is filed under the name uncultured eukaryote. Its description in RNAcentral is "SSU rRNA". It matches the Rfam family "Eukaryotic small subunit ribosomal RNA", at positions 1161 to 1699 of the family's 1831-position model. The record is from RNAcentral.
AGGGCACCACCAGAUGUGGAGCUUGCGGCUUAAUUUGACUCAACACGGGAAAACUUACCCGGCCCGGACACUGGGAGGAUUGACAGAUUGAGAGCUCUUUCUUGAUUCAGUGGGUGGUGGUGCAUGGCCGUUCUUAGUCGGUGGAGCGAUUUGUCUGGUUAAUUCCGAUAACGAACGAGACUCUAGCCUACUAAAUAGACCGCCGACUUUUAAACGUCAGCGGGACUUCUUAGAGGGACAGGCGGUGAUUCAACCGCACGAAACAGAGCAAUAACAGGUCUGUGAUGCCCUUAGAUGUCCGGGGCCGCACGCGUGCUACACUGAAGUGAUCAGCAUGCAUUGAGUUCCUGCUCCGUCAGGAGUGGGUAACCCAUUGAACCUUCUUCGUGAUUGGGAUAGGAGAUUGUAAUUAUUCUCCUUGAACGAGGAAUAUCCAGUAAGCGCAAGUCAUAAGCUUGCGUUGAUUACGUCCCUGCCCUUUGUACACACCGCCCGUCGCUACUACCGAUUGAAUGGUUU